Molecule: ribosomal RNA, 333 nt
Filed under: uncultured Bacillota bacterium
Lineage: Bacteria; Bacillati; Bacillota
Description: bacterial SSU rRNA
Rfam family: Bacterial small subunit ribosomal RNA
Source: RNAcentral
GACGAACGCUGGCGGCGUGCCUAAUACAUGCAAGUUGAGCGAACCAAUAGGAGCUUGCUCCUGUUGGUUAGCGGCGGACGGGUGAGUAACACGUGGGCAACCUGCCUGUAAGACUGGGAUAACACCGGGAAACCGGUGCUAAUACCGGAUAACUCUUUUCCUCACAUGAGGAAAAGCUCAAAGACGGCGUAAGCUGUCACUUACAGAUGGGCCCGCGGCGCAUUAGCUAGUUGGUGAGGUAACGGCUCACCAAGGCAACGAUGCGUAGCCGACCUGAGAGGGUGAUCGGCCACAUUGGGACUGAGACACGGCCCAAACUCCUACGGGAGGCAG